UCAUGCUUCCAUGAAAUGCAACACAUCACAAACAUAUCACAUAAGGAUGGUAUUGUCACCUAUAGUCCUCAACAUAGUCCAAUCGUGCCAGGGGCGUAGAAUGGGCCUCACUGGUCUUUCUCUUACAUACAUAACAUAACAUAACAUUCCAAUAUGCCAGGGGCGUAGAAUGGGCCUCACUGGCAAUCCAUACCGUAUCAUCAUCAUAUCAUACCAUAGGAGGACUAGAGGAUCAUCCAAUAGCCAAUCCGCAUCCACAUCAUAUUAUGCAAUGCAACAUAUUCGUGAAUACUAAUGCAAACAACCUAAAAUAUCACAUGGCAUAUAUGAUGCAUGAACAUGCU
This 344-nucleotide long non-coding RNA is filed under the name Manihot esculenta (cassava). Its description in RNAcentral is "long non-coding RNA (MESC_LNC013060)". Lineage: Eukaryota; Viridiplantae; Streptophyta; Magnoliopsida; Malpighiales; Euphorbiaceae. The record is from RNAcentral.